UCCACAUUGAUCUGGUACUCCCUGUAUAUAGCUCCACACUGAUCUGGUACUUCCUGUAUACAGCUCCACAUUGAUCUGGUACUCCCUGUAUAUAGCUCCACAUUGAUCUGGUACUCCCUGUAUAUAGCUCCACAUUGAUCUGGUACUCCCUGUAUAUAGCUCCACAUUGAUCUGGUACUCCCUGUAUAUAGCUCCACAUUGAGCCUGUACUUCCGUAUACUCCAGUGUAUUUAGUAUUAUUCCCCGUUUUACAUUAUUUAAUGUUUUAACUCUGCAUCGUUGAGAAGGGCUAGUAACCAAUCAUUACAUUGGGGACAUUGCCCUGUGUACGGUGCUGUCUUUCAGAUGGGAUGUUAAAUGGGUGUCCUGACUCUCUGAGGUCACUAAAGAUCCCAUGGCGCUUAUCGUAAGAGUAGGGGCGUUAACCCCUGGUGUCCUGGCUAAAUUCCCAAGAUGGCCACCUAAUCAUCCCCAGCUUCCAAUUGGCUCAUUCAUCCCCUUCCUCUCCCCUGUAACUAUUCCCCAGGUCGUUGCUGUAAAUGAGAACGUGUUCUCAGUCAACUUACCUGGUAAAAUAACGGUAAAAUAAAAAUAAAAUAUAAAACAAUGUUAAAGUCUACAAACAGUAGGUAUUCGGCACACGUGACAUAAAACUUGAUUUAUAGUUUUGAAGAAGAGGAUAUUUUCCAGAAGACCCAGGGGGUGGCGCCACCGUGUGGACAGCAGGUGUAAAUGCAGCAGCAGCGUAGCAACAUGAACGCUCUCCUUUCCUCCUCACUGCUCCCUCACCAGAGACGCCACAUGGACAUUAUACAUGGCUGCCUGCAGACGACACAAACAGACAAAGAUGGCCGUCAUAACCAACAUAAUAAAACAAUAACCUCUAGCUUAGGGUCAGGGGUCAGCUGUAUGAAGCCUACCUCAGGGUCAGGAGAAACAGACAGGUUUCAGCUGGGUCAGGAGAGGAGAAACAGACAGGUGUAGGUCUGAGAUCAGAUCAAGAGAGGAGCAACUCUGAGCUAAAACAGACCGAAUCGAGUACCUUGAAUCCAAUGAUGAAAAGGCUGAGUGUGUCCAGGACAGUCAGACACACUACCCCGAGUACGCUGCAGAACAGACACACUACCCC
Molecule: long non-coding RNA, 1129 nt
Filed under: Salmo salar (Atlantic salmon)
Lineage: Eukaryota; Metazoa; Chordata; Actinopteri; Salmoniformes; Salmonidae
Description: lncRNA (ENSSSAG00000082084.1)
Source: RNAcentral